Molecule: ribosomal RNA, 1215 nt
Filed under: Plesiomonas shigelloides
Lineage: Bacteria; Pseudomonadati; Pseudomonadota; Gammaproteobacteria; Enterobacterales; Enterobacteriaceae
Description: bacterial LSU rRNA
Rfam family: Bacterial large subunit ribosomal RNA
Source: RNAcentral
AACUUCGGGAGAAGGCACGCUGAUGGUAGGUGAAGUCCCUUGCGGAUGGAGCUGAACUCAGUCGAAGAUACCAGCUGGCUGCAACUGUUUAUUAAAAACACAGCACUGUGCAAACACGAAAGUGGACGUAUACGGUGUGACGCCUGCCCGGUGCCGGAAGGUUAAUUGAUGGGGUUAGCGAAAGCGAAGCUCUUGAUCGAAGCCCCGGUAAACGGCGGCCGUAACUAUAACGGUCCUAAGGUAGCGAAAUUCCUUGUCGGGUAAGUUCCGACCUGCACGAAUGGCGUAAUGAUGGCCAGGCUGUCUCCACCCGAGACUCAGUGAAAUUGAAAUCGCUGUGAAGAUGCAGUGUACCCGCGGCAAGACGGAAAGACCCCGUGAACCUUUACUAUAGCUUGACACUGAACAUUGAGCCUUGAUGUGUAGGAUAGGUGGGAGGCAUUGAAACGUGAACGCCAGUUUGCGUGGAGCCGACCUUGAAAUACCACCCUUUAAUGUUUGAUGUUCUAACGUUGUCCCGUAAUCCGGGAUACGGACAGUGUCUGGUGGGUAGUUUGACUGGGGCGGUCUCCUCCUAAAGAGUAACGGAGGAGCACGAAGGUUAGCUAAGCAUGGUCGGACAUCAUGCGGUUAGUGCAAAGGCAGAAGCUAGCUUAACUGCGAGACGGACAGGUCGAGCAGAUACGAAAGUAGGUCUUAGUGAUCCGGUGGUUCUGAAUGGAAGGGCCAUCGCUCAACGGAUAAAAGGUACUCCGGGGAUAACAGGCUGAUACCGCCCAAGAGUUCAUAUCGACGGCGGUGUUUGGCACCUCGAUGUCGGCUCAUCACAUCCUGGGGCUGAAGUUGGUCCCAAGGGUAUGGCUGUUCGCCAUUUAAAGUGGUACGCGAGCUGGGUUUAGAACGUCGUGAGACAGUUCGGUCCCUAUCUGUCGUGGGCGUUGGAUGAUUGAGGGGGGCUGCUCCUAGUACGAGAGGACCGGAGUGGACGCAUCUCUGGUGUUCCGGUUGUCACGCCAGUGGCAUUGCCGGGUAGCUAAAUGCGGAAGAGAUAAGCGCUGAAAGCAUCUAAGCGCGAAACUUGCCCCGAGAUGAGUCAUCCCUGAGGCUUUAAGCCUCCUAAAGGGUUGUUGGAGACUACGACGUAGAUAGGCAGGGUGUGUAAGCGUAGCGAUACGUUGAGCUAACCUGUACUAAUUGCCCGUGAGGCUUAACCAU